Molecule: ribosomal RNA, 502 nt
Filed under: uncultured bacterium
Lineage: Bacteria
Description: bacterial SSU rRNA
Rfam family: Bacterial small subunit ribosomal RNA
Source: RNAcentral
GAGUUUGAUCAUGGCUCAGGACGAACGCUGGCGGCGUGCUUAACACAUGCAAGUCGAGCGAUGAAGCUUCCUUCGGGAAGUGGAUUAGCGGCGGACGGGUGAGUAACACGUGGGCAACCUGCCUCAAAGAGGGGAAUAGCCCUCCGAAAGGAGGAUUAAUACCGCAUAAAGUUAGAGUUUCGCAUGAAACUUUAACCAAAGGAGUAAUCUGCUUUGAGAUGGGCCCGCGUCCCAUUAGCUAGUUGGUAAGGUAAUGGCUUACCAAGGCAACGAUGGGUAGCCGACCUGAGAGGGUGAUCGGCCACAUUGGAACUGAGACACGGUCCAGACUCCUACGGGAGGCAGCAGUGGGGAAUAUUGCGCAAUGGGGGAAACCCUGACGCAGCAACGCCGCGUGGGUGAUGAAGGUUUUCGGAUCGUAAAACCCUGUUUUCUGGGACGAUGAUGACGGUACCAGAUGAGGAAGCCACGGCUAACUACGUGCCAGCAGCCGCGGUAAUAC